UACGAAGGGGGCUAGCGUUGCUCGGAAUGACUGGGCGUAAAGGGCGCGCAGGCGGCCAUUCAAGUCAGGCGUGAAAGCCCCGGGCUUAACCUGGGAGGUGCGCUUGGGACUGGGUGGCUAGAGAUCGGGAGAGGAGAGUGGAAUUCCCAGUGUAGAGGUGAAAUUCGUAGAUAUCGGGAGGAACACCAGUGGCGAAGGCGACUUCCUGGCCUGUUCUUGACGCUGAGGCGCGAAAGCUAGGGUAGCAAACGGG
This 253-nucleotide ribosomal RNA is filed under the name uncultured bacterium. Its description in RNAcentral is "partial 16S ribosomal RNA". It matches the Rfam family "Bacterial small subunit ribosomal RNA", at positions 524 to 776 of the family's 1533-position model. The record is from RNAcentral.